Molecule: transfer RNA, 84 nt
Organism: Turneriella parva DSM 21527
Lineage: Bacteria; Pseudomonadati; Spirochaetota; Leptospiria; Leptospirales; Leptospiraceae
Rfam family: tRNA
About the family: Transfer RNA (tRNA) molecules are approximately 80 nucleotides in length.
Source: Rfam
GCCCGUGUGAUGGAAUUGGUAGACAUACAGGACUUAAAAUCCUGGGGCAGCAAUGCCGUGCCGGUUCGAUUCCGGCCACGGGUA